RNAcentral lists this non-coding RNA (176 nucleotides) under Lachnospiraceae bacterium. RNAcentral's name for it is "6S RNA". It matches the Rfam family "6S / SsrS RNA". Rfam says of the family: E. coli 6S RNA was the first non coding RNA to be sequenced, but its function was unknown until recently. It consists of 184 nucleotides that fold into an extended hairpin structure with a large single-stranded internal bulge. The 6S RNA specifically associates with RNA polymerase holoenzyme containing the sigma70 specificity factor. Lineage: Bacteria; Bacillati; Bacillota; Clostridia; Lachnospirales; Lachnospiraceae. The record is from RNAcentral.
UGUUACCUGAAAUGUUCGACACCCUGUUAUAUUUGAACCUACAAUUUGAAAAAGGGAUUCCUAUAUUAUCUGAUUGAUGUCAGGCCUCUUUUAAGUGGAAGGCAGAUAUCAGCAUUGCGGUUGCCCACCUAGCACUGCUAGGACUCAAAAGGCAGGAACGGCAUUUUGGGCUACAU